This 66-nucleotide transfer RNA is filed under the name Carabidae sp. BMNH 1274270. RNAcentral describes it as "tRNA-Ile". The record is from RNAcentral. Lineage: Eukaryota; Metazoa; Arthropoda; Insecta; Coleoptera; Carabidae.
AAUGGAGUGCCUGAAAAAAAGGAUUAUUUUGAUAGAAUAAAUUAUGUAAUAAAUUUACCUUCAUUA